Molecule: ribosomal RNA, 560 nt
Filed under: Thermochaetoides thermophila
Lineage: Eukaryota; Fungi; Ascomycota; Sordariomycetes; Sordariales; Chaetomiaceae
Description: partial 28S ribosomal RNA
Rfam family: Eukaryotic large subunit ribosomal RNA
Source: RNAcentral
GCAUAUCAAUAAGCGGAGGAAAAGAAACCAACAGGGAUUGCCCUAGUAACGGCGAGUGAAGCGGCAACAGCUCAAAUUUGAAAGCUGGCUUCGGCCCGCGUUGUAAUUUGGAGAGGAUGCUUUGGGCGAGGCUCCUUCUGAGUUCCCUGGAACGGGACGCCACAGAGGGUGAGAGCCCCGUAUAGUUGGAAGCCAAGCCUGUGUAAAGCUCCUUCGACGAGUCGAGUAGUUUGGGAAUGCUGCUCAAAAUGGGAGGUAAAUUUCUUCUAAAGCUAAAUACCGGCCAGAGACCGAUAGCGCACAAGUAGAGUGAUCGAAAGAUGAAAAGCACUUUGAAAAGAGGGUUAAAUAGCACGUGAAAUUGUUGAAAGGGAAGCGCUUGUGACCAGACUUGCGCCCGGCGGAUCAUCCGGUGUUCUCACCGGUGCACUCCGCCGGGCUCAGGCCAGCAUCGGUUCUGGCGGGGGGAUAAAGGCCCAGGGAAUGUGGCUCCUCCGGGAGUGUUAUAGCCCUGGGUGUAAUACCCUCGCCGGGACCGAGGACCGCGCUCUGCAAGGAUG